GGACGCGCCCGCGCCCCCGCGGCUGGAGGGUGGUCGCCACUGGGACACGGUGAACCAGGAGUGAGUCGGAGCUGCCGCGCUGCCCAGGCAUGGACUGUGAGGUCAGCAAUGGUUCCGGCCUCAGGGAUGAGUGCAUCACAAACCUACUGGUGUUUGGCUUCCUCCAAAGCUGCUCUGACAACAGCUUCCGCAGAGAGCUGGAUGCGCUGGGCCGCGAGCUGCCAGUGCUGGCUCCCCAGUGGGAGGGCUACGAUGAGCUGCAGACUGACGGCAACCGCAGCAGCCACUCCCGCUUGGGAAGAAUAGAGGCAGGGGCGUCAGACAAUAACACAGCAAGUGCUGAGGAAGAAACAGGUGGCAGGGAGUGUGGAGUGUGGCAGUUGAGCGUGGCCUUCGUGGAGCUGCGACAGUGGUACUCGGGCAGGGGCAGCACGGAGGCUGUGCGCCGGAGGAGGAGAACUGAGGGGGCAAGGAGGAGAGCUCUGGUUGGAAAGGCAGGGGAGAUUCUCCAGGGCCUUGCCAGUGCCAGUGACAGCUGGGGUUUUCCUGAGACGGGACUGCGAGGAAUGGGGGCUCUCAGGCUGGAGAGGGCGAAGGUGGGUCUGGGACACCGACUGCCCACAGGGCCCCUUCCCCAACGGCUGCCCAGGCCAAGGCCAACCCUGUUGGGUUGUGUGGUGUGAGCCAUGAAGCUGCUACCAGGCUUGUACCUCAGGCGUGGUCGUUGACGCCCCAGCUUCACUGGCCCUGCCUGUGGGGACGUGGUGCCCGUGUGCAGGAGCCUGGGCCUCAGCCAAGGCCCUGAGCUCUGGCACUGCCCAGAACCCAGCUCAGCGCUGGUACCCAGCCCACCCACCGUGGCCCUGGUGGAGUGGAGCACGUGCCCAGUGGGGGCCGGCCUUGUCCCAUUGCGGAUCUGUCCUUUCCCGGGGCAGGGUGGUGUGGGAGAGGGUAUCAGGGCCAUUUUCUGAGUCUGCUCUGUCUCUGCCGCCCCUGCCUGAACACACAGAUUCUGAAAGUCAAGAAGACAUCAUCCGGAACAUUGCCAGGCACCUCGCCCAGGUCGGGGACAGCAUGGACCGUAGCAUCCCUCCGGGCCUGGUGAACGGCCUGGCCCUGCAGCUCAGGAACACCAGCCGGUCAGAGGAGGACCGGAACAGGGACCUGGCCACUGCCCUGGAGCAGCUGCUGCAGGCCUACCCUACAGACAUGGAGAAGGAGAAGACCAUGCUGGUGCUGGCCCUGCUGCUGGCCAAGAAGGUGGCCAGUCACACACCGUCCUUGCUGCGUGAUGUCUUUCACACAACGGUGAAUUUUAUUAACCAGAACCUACGCACCUACGUGAGGAGCUUAGCCAGAAAUGGGAUGGACUGAACGGACAGUUCCAAAAGUGUGACUGGCU
This 1402-nucleotide small RNA is filed under the name Pongo abelii (Sumatran orangutan). RNAcentral describes it as "retained intron". Lineage: Eukaryota; Metazoa; Chordata; Mammalia; Primates; Hominidae. The record is from RNAcentral.